GAUGAACGCUGGCGGCGUGCCUAAUACAUGCAAGUCGAGCGAACAGACGAGGAGCUUGCUCCUCUGACGUUAGCGGCGGACGGGUGAGUAACACGUGGAUAACCUACCUAUAAGACUGGGAUAACUUCGGGAAACCGGAGCUAAUACCGGAUAAUAUAUUGAACCGCAUGGUUCAAUAGUGAAAGACGGUUUUGCUGUCACUUAUAGAUGGAUCCGCGCCGCAUUAGCUAGUUGGUAAGGUAACGGCUUACCAAGGCAACGAUGCGUAGCCGACCUGAGAGGGUGAUCGGCCACACUGGAACUGAGACACGCUCCAGACUCCUACGGGAGGCAGCAGUAGGGAAUCUUCCGCAAUGGGCGAAAGCCUGACGGAGCAACGCCGCGUGAGUGAUGAAGGUCUUCGGAUCGUAAAACUCUGUUAUUAGGGAAGAACAAAUGUGUAAGUAACUAUGCACGUCUUGACGGUACCUAAUCAGAAAGCCACGGCUAACUACGUG
This 497-nucleotide ribosomal RNA is filed under the name uncultured bacterium. RNAcentral describes it as "partial 16S ribosomal RNA". It matches the Rfam family "Bacterial small subunit ribosomal RNA", at positions 28 to 507 of the family's 1533-position model. The record is from RNAcentral.